Rattus norvegicus (Norway rat) is the source of this 39569-nucleotide long non-coding RNA. RefSeq lists it as uncharacterized. The record is from RefSeq and is a predicted model, not a curated record. NCBI's taxonomy places the organism in Eukaryota, Metazoa, Chordata, Mammalia, Rodentia, Muridae.
CUUCUCUCCCUCUUCAUUAGCACACCUACUUGAGUGUGGAGGCUGAAAAGGUUAAAAUGUAAAUGUAAACCUGUGCCUUCUUAAAUCACACAAAUCCUUAAGUUUGGGUGAAAAACAAAGGGGAUUUCUUUUCUUAUCUGCAUCAUAUCUGUUUGCAGUCAUAUUUGAUUGUCUGGGCUUGUUACUAUUCAGCACUUUGGGAAAUGUUCAGCUCUUUUAUAUAUGGCCGGGACACUGGGGUCACAGCAGUCAUCAGUACAAGGGGCUUUCAGCUGUGUGUGGCCAUACCCCUGUGACCUGACAGGAACAGUAAAUAACUGUUUGAUGGUGUAGUUUCUGUGGCAGAGUACUUUGCUAGCACAUUCUGUCUCCCUCUUCCCAACUAGUUUGCUUUUGAAAAUUAGCAAACAAGACAAAACAGGGUGAACCACUAGCCUGGAGCUCUCAUGAUCCAGGCUGAUGGCUCUCCAGCCUGGGAAUUUCAAGUGUAUCCCAGCACCCAGAUACUUUUAGGUAGGGUCUGGGACUUGAACUCAGGUCCUUAAGCUGAAAAGACCAAGCCAUCAUUUUAAUCCCCAUGGGUUCUGUUUGGAUGCAGACAUGGUCAUUCCUCAUCCCAGAGAACUGCUCAGCUCUGUAGACAUAAUAAACCAAUGGUUGGGUUAUGACCCAAACUUCUACACUAAGUGGUCUCACCUGAAAUAGUGUUUGGUUUUUGGCUUUGUUGGGUGAAAUCUUUGCUUCUCAGCCUUUAUGUGCGGCAUAUAUAACAAUGACUUAUUUUCAGUGCCAUAAAUAGGGAUGCUAAAUAACGAUUAUCAAAACAUUUUAAAAAAUGUACCUCUGCAUUUGCCUAAUCAGAAAAAUAUGUUCUGCUUUCUAAAGUAUGUUCUUGAGAGAAAUAAAGCUGUAAUAUUAUUACCGUACCCAUGAAGGACAUUUGAUACUUCUCAAGGGUGUUCAACUAUACUGUUAACAGUUUAAAUCUGAAAUGCUUUACUAAUGUCUCAUAUGGUAGAGGCUUGGUCUGCAGAUAGUGGUGCAGGUCGGGUGUCUGGAACUUGGGUAGGUAAGAUGUAGCUGAAAAAAGUACAGAAUGUCCUUGAGAUCUAUAUCUUGUGCCCUGUUUCUUGGCCCUAGAGAAAAUAGAUCUAUUGUGCCCCCAUGUUUCACCUCCUGCCUUACCAUGUGCCAGAAUGAGAAGGACUAAAAAUUAUUGACAGAAAUACCUGAAACCAUGAUGUAAACUAAAUCCUUCUCUUCUUGAUCUGUUUAUGACAGGUACCUUGUCACUCUUUUCUCUGUGUGAACUUCAGAGCAUCCUUACACAUAAGGCACUGAAAACAUUUUAGAACUGAAUAGAUUCAAUCUGAGGAAUGUUCAGCGAGUGCCAGCUGGCAUGUGGUACAGGCUUUGUCCAAACCAUUGGGUUGACCUUCCAAGUUCUUCUUCAAUAAUGCAUAAGAAUUGCCAGGACACCAUUUAAAGAUUCAAUAUUCUUGAAAAUAAAUCUACCUCACAUUCUCCCUUCUUUGGGUAACACUUAUGUAGGUAAGGACUUCAAAGUUGUCUCCUUGGUUCAGUGUUAUGCCUCUGAGUCAGAUUUGGUACUGUUUGGGCAACAUCCUUGCUCAAAUAUACAAAUGGUGUGUUAUUUCCUCCUGGUAGAGAUCUACAGGCAGGGAAAGUGGCAGAGAGUGACUUUUUGUAAACACUGGAAACAGACCUAUGGAUGAGACAAAUGACUGGGAGUGGCUAUGGCUGUGAAAAUCCUCCUUGAGGUUUUCGUGAGAUUGUCUCUGCUCCACACUGCAUUGCACAUGUGCUGGAAAUGCCCUAUCAGCAAGAUGCCCUUCUUGGAAUGCCCUUAGCGCUUGUUCUCAGCAACACUUUUCAGUGCUUCUCUUGCUCGUCGCUUCAAGUCAAACUACUACCGUCACUGCUCCCUGUGCUGUGAUUAGAUAGACCUGGUUGCAUCUGUGGGGUUUUAGAAAAAAAAAAUGUGCUGUUCCAAUGCAACCCAAAAAUCAAUUACCUAAUUGAUUGCAGAUUGCGAUUGCCUCAAGAAGCUGAUCAUGAUAAAAUGAAGGAGACUGGCUUUUUUCAAUACGAUGUCUAAAAAAAAAUUAUCUGAAAGAGAUAAUGCUUAAAUUAAGACCAAAAGGACAGAACGAUACAGUUAAAAGAACAUUCCACACUACAAACACUACAAACCAACCAGCACUAAAACUGAGGGCAGGAAAGGCUCUUUGUCUAAUUCCUUCUAGUCAGUAGGGAUAGGACACAGCAAAGGAAGGGGGAGAAAGACAAGCUCUAUGGAAACAGGUCGGGCCCACAUUGCACCUUGAAUUGCUCUAAUGUGACUGGCUGCCAGAGCAUUGAGAGCAAGCAGAGAAAGCAAUGGGAGAACAUUUCAGAAAGAAAAGAAACAAAUAAUAAUAUCUGAAAAGACACAGACAAGACAAGGUUGGAGGUUACUGGGACAAUUCAAGGGUUGUUGAAGGAGUGUCAGAAGUUAUGUGGCUCAAUGGUUGAGUGCUUGCCUGAGGAAGAUGAGGUGAUGCUCUGGUUUCAAUCUUUGUAUUACACACACAGAUUCUCUCUCUCUCUCACUGACAAACACACACACACACACACACACACACACACACACACACACAUGAACACACACAUUUUUCAAAUUUCUCUUUUAUGUUCCACAUGUUGGUGAAACUUUCAGUUAUAUGUUGAAUCUUUAAAAAUGUGUACAUCUCAGACGGGAUGUCUGGAGAUAGAUACUAAUUUAAGAUAACAUAUAGAACAAGGAGCCUGGUACAAUGAAGACAUGAAGGCAAGUGGAUAAUACAUGAGGUGAGGUAGAGAGAGAGAUGCCCUGUGGUAGAAAUGGAAACUAGGAAGAGGUUCAUUGGUAGGAAUCAUCUCGUGAUUGUGGCUCUGUCCCAGGAUGCUUUCUUCCUUGACUACUAUGGUCCUUUCUCACAGUCUCCUCCACUGUAUACGCAGCAACCUAGAGCAUCAGUCAGGAUGGCAUCCCCAGAUGCAAAUGCACAGGUCUUCCUUCUGGCUUUGGCCAAUGGCUGAGUUUAGAGAAAUGGUAAAGAUGUUUUAUUGUGUGCCUAUGGUAAUGAGACAGAAUGAUGCCAGAAGAGUUCCUGAGUUGGGCUCAGAUUUAGGUCUGGGAUAAGAAAUUAAGGAAAACUAUAAUCUGUCCCAUCUUGACUUGGAACUAUGUGUUAGGGUUUAGAAGUUGAUGUCUCACACUGUUUACUACCCCUUUUAAAUUAAUGCUCUAGUCAUCAUGUAAACUGACAGGCUUCACUAUAAUAUCUUUGUACAUAUAUAUCAUUAUACUUUGCUCUGAGUAGUCCGAUUUUUUAAAUGAGGGACAAAGAACUUGGAACUAAGCAGCUGAAUCUUAGGUUGAAGUCACACACACCCCAGUUUGAAAUUACUCAAAUGUGGGCACAUUAUUCCAUAUUUUAGAUUCUAAUUUCUCCAUGAGAAAAUCAUCCCUAUGUAAUAGCCAACUGUUGUCUUGGUCCCAUGCCUUAAAAGGCAGAAGAGGCAAGUGAUGAAGGACACUCCACUUUUGCUAACAGGAGUAUAUUGGGAGAAAACAUAGGUGUGGUGAUUUGAAGAGGAACCCCCAUAGACACAUGUGUUUGAAUGCUUGUACCAUUGGGAGUGGCCCUAUUAGGAGGUGUGGCUUUGUUGGAGUGGGUGUGGCCUUGCUGCAGGAAGUAUGUCAUUGUGGAGGUGGGUUUUGAGAUCUCUUAUACUCAAGCUAUACAAGUAUGCCACACAGUCUCCUUCUGUUGCCUUCAGACAUAAAUGUAGCUGUUUCAGCUCCUUCUCCAGCAUCAUGUCUGUCUGAAUGCUGCCAUGUUUUUUCCCAUGACUUUAAUGGACUAAACCUCUGAAACUGUAAGUCAGUCACAAUUAAAUGUUUUCCUUCAUAAGAAUUGCCAUGGUCAUGUUGUCUCUUUGCAGAAAUAAAAUCCCAACUAACAUAACAGAGUAACAUGCACUUGUCUAGAAAAGCACCACAAAUCAAAUGUGUAAUAUACUAAGGAUUGGUGCCUAUUUCCAGUCAGCUUUUAAAUUUUAGAUGUAUCUUCUUACUAUUUGGUCCAGAUUUGUUUACUCUCUGGAGCUUGGUUGGUGGGUCCAUGGGUAGCCAGGAGAGAAGGUGAUUAUCAGAACUUAGGUGGAGGAUAGGAUAUUAAAUGCAGGCUCUGGGGCCAAGAAAACUGUAGAAGGAGCUGCUCCAGUGGUAAAAUCCAAGUGCUGCCAGAGGGAUGAGAGGAAGCUACAGGCAAAAUGGUUGGCUAUGCGUCUGAGAGGCUGGACAGAGACUACAGCAGGAUGACUUAGAAAAGUCUGCAAAGCUUUUGAUAUAUUCCUUUCUUGGUUUGGAAUAUGGGUGUCUAGGACAGAGUGGGUCUAUUAUUCAAGAGGUGCCCUUUGUACAAGAAGACAAGGACAAAGGACCUGAUUCCAAAUUCUACUGGUCACUAUGUAGAUCUCUAUCCUGCCUCUCGACGUAUUAUUCCCUCAGAGAGGAAAACACAUGUCCAUGACUGAGCUGUGCUCCUUAAUCCCAUCUGCUAGAAGUUUCAUCAGUUCCAAUGAAGAAUACUUAAACUCCCAAAUGAAGAAAAGGUCUGAACAAUCGUUUGGGGCUGCCUGUUGCCCGUUUCAAGGAUGAGGGCAGCAUCGAUGCUGUGCUUUGGAGCUCCUGGCUGUGUCAGCCUACGUGAGCUGUCACAGCUGAGCUGCGGUUUGGCUUUCAGUACAGACUACGUAAACUGAGGACUCACUGUGGGUGCAGUGGUAAAUCUGGGGAGGACUGUUGUUGCUUGUUUUAUUUUUCUGCCUAUGGUGACUUUUUUUAAAAAAGUGAAAGCAUUGUUUUUUUUUUUAAUUUUUGAGAUUAUGAUAUACUUACAACAUUUCGUCCGCCCUCGCCCCCGGCCCCAAGCCUACCAGAUACUCAAACUCUACUUCAAAUCCCAGGCCUCUUUUUUCACACAUUGUUAUUAUACACAUUUAUGUAUAUCAUUAUACAUAUAUAUUCCCAAAUGUAACCUGUUUCAUCUGCAAAAAUGUCACUUAAAUGUGUGCUUCACGGAUGACCAUUUGGCACAGGAAAAACUUGAGAAUUUGAGAUAAAAGGAUGUCUUAAGGGUUUUCGGGGUGUUUGAAGUCAUGAAUAUAUGUUUAUAAAAGUACAAACAGAAAUACAAUGACUUAUUCAGAAAUAAAACAGUUUGUGCUAUCUAGAGAUUUAUCCUUUUAUCAUGUGAUGUGAUUUUUUAGGAUCUUGAUGCUUUUAUCAUUAUUUUUAUCAAGUGUUGAAAUGACAAUAUUAUGUUUUCAGUGGUGCACAAACAUCUGAGAGCUUUGCUUCUUUUCUCAGUUUGCUUGCCUAAAACCUGGAUGAAUUCCUGUGGUCAGAAUGUAGUGUAAUUAAAUGUAUUAAAUCGUCUGUCUGAUAUUUUCUUUUGGGCAUUAUUUUAUCCCUUUAUAACAUCAUAAGCAUUAUUAAAAUUUACCACAAUUCAUAGUUAUUUUUUUUACUAAUCAUUGAUUACCUUAAUAGAUUUUUAAAAUUUCAAAUCAUUAAUUUUAUGCCAAAUGUUCCUUUUAUGAAGUAUCUUAAACUCACCCAGAAAUUGGAAGUAUGAGAUAUUUUAAAUCAUUGCGAAUUCUGUCAUUCAUCUUGGGACCAGUAACUCAGAAACUCUGUUUUUAGUUAAUUUUAAUUAAAAACAUUUCUACUCAGAAUACUGCUUAAUGCCAGAUAAUUGCUAACAUUGAACAUAGUUAUUUUUGCUAAGGGCAAAGAGCUAAAACCAUAAAUUGUGAUGGCAGACACAUGGUUCACUGACAAAACUAUAUAAAAUAUUGUUUAUGUCACUUCUGAUUCAUUCAUUUCUACUGUAACUCCUGGGGGAACCUUGUGCAAGUUACAGUUUCUAAAACAUCCCUUAUCACAUUGGGUUCUGGCAACUCAGCACUUGCUUACUGACCAGAUUAUUGCUCUGAAACAAGGAACAGAAAGAAACAGAGUUAUGUGUCAGCUGCACUUUGGAUAGUCGGUGUCAGUACAGUUUCGGGGGACCUAAAUAUUUAAUAGCCAUGAGACCAUCUGGCUCGAAUUGGAUAGCUCACAAUUUUACAACUGCAAUAUUGCAGGGUAGGUAUGAAAAGUACACAGAACUCAUCUUUAUAAAUACGCGCCCACUUUAUGUGCUUGACAACCUUGUAGAUUCAUGAUCUACAGAAGCUGUUCAUAUGAGAUGGAAUCAAUAGAGAAUCUUUCGCUGCUGAGCAGGUUAUCAGAGAUGACAGCAUUUCCGGUGUCCCUGAUUUCAAAAUAUAUAUUAUGCACAAUGUUUCUAAGGCUGCAGGUUUUUGUCGUGUCUCAGUAGCCCUUUAUUUUAGAAAAUAAUAGUCAUCUCAGGAACACAUUAAAAUGUGAAGACAUUUUUAAGUAAACAUUUUAUAAAUAAAUGGAUUUCACUACCGAGCUUCUUUUCCACUUAAUUCCAGACCAUUUCUUGAAGUGACCAGGGAGACAGGAAUACAUUGACUCUGCAUUCUCUUCUAUUAACUUUCUUAUCCCUCAGGUAGACAAUGAACAAGGAGAUAGGAGGAAACUGUAAAGUAGAUAAGCUAUUUUCAUUCAAAUGAUGCUUUCAUUGAAAAUUGCACAAAGGGUCUAGUUUAUUUUAGUUGGUUUGAAUCUUUUUCCCUCUAAAUAUUUGUUAUACCGUUUGAAGAAUAAAGCACUUUGGUCAUAGUUCCUCUAUUCCCCUCUCUUAUACUCUUUAACAGUAUAAAAGAAAGAAAAAUAUUCUCAUUUACAUACAUUUUAAAUGUAUCAAAAUAGUGGUACAUUAAUUAUCUUUAGGAGAGAUUUUUAAGUCUGGUUGACUGCGCGCAUUUUGAUAGUUAUAAUUUACAUAUUUAUUUCUAGGAACUCUUGAUCCAAAUAGAUUUUAAGGAAGCAGCUUUAAAUAUGAUAGGUUCCAAACCUAUCUGGUUAACAACAUCAAAAUAUUUUAAGCCGAGGAUAACAUAGAGCUAACCAGACCCAGCACCUUUGCCCACAAUGCUAUGAAAACAACAUUCAGUGACCUACAAUGGUGAGUGCCCCAUAGUACAAACACCCUGCUACUUACCUCCAGGUUAGGUAAAUAAAAAAGCAUGUUCCUGCUUUCAAAGAACAUGGUGCACAAAGAAGACACUAGAUUAAUAAAGGAAUCCAUGAAAUAUAAGGGAAAUAUGGGUGGUACAGUUCUCUAAGUGGCACUGCACAAAUCACAUGAUAGAGAAAAUAAAAAAAAAGGUCACAUCUAAUUUGAAAUAACUGUUUUGUGAAUGAAUAUAAGACCCACGAAUAAGAGCACAUGGUUAUAUAAAAGUAUAUUGGUUGUUACGUAUUUUUAUAUAAGUACAAUAUAAAAAGUCAAGUGCAGAAACUGUACACUCCUUUACCACAGCCCUAGUUAGAACGGACAAAACCGUAUUUUUGCUUACUUAGUUUUCAUUUGUACUAACUAGAUCUUUAUAAAGGGUAAAGCUAUAUUUUUCUCUAUCCCAUAAAGUAUAAAAGGAAGAAUCACCAUCAAUUAUUUUUACAAAGCCAGUGUUGCAUUUGCCUCAAAGCUACAUAAAGAUAAAUCAAACUGUUUUAGACUAAUGUCCUUAUUAAACAUAGAUAUAAAAAUUCACAUAAAAUAUCUGCAAACUGGUCACAAGAACACACCAGAAAGACCAUUUACUAUGAACAAAUUCACUCUGUUGCAGAUAUGCUGGGCUACCUCCAUAUAUGCAAAUCAGCAAAUAUUAUUAUGGUCAAAAUAUAUCAAUGGAGUACAAGUCAGAAAUUACAUGGUCAUUUCAGUAGAUGGAUAAAAGCCACCCUUGAGAAAAUACGAUGUCAUUUUAUAAUAAAAAUCACAAAGGGACUGGGGAUAGGAGAAAAAUACUUAAACAUAAUAAACAUUACGUAUUACAAAUAUAUACCCAACAUUGUGCUAAAUGCAAGAAAACUAAAGGCAUUUCUGCUAAGACCAAGAACAAGACGAGGAUGUUCAUUCUCUUCAUUUCUAGUCACUGUAAUGCUUAAAGUAAGACAGAAGAAGAAAUAUAUAAUUGAUGCUAUAGGAGAGGAAGAGAGCAUCCUUAUUUACAACUGGUAGGACUCAGUCUGUAAGUGACCCUGAAUACUCUACCAGAGCACUUGGUUAAAUUUUAAUUUUACCUUAACCAAAGUGGCAGUUUACAAUAUGAACAAACACAACAAAUCAAUAGCCUGUCUAUAAAAACACACUGAGGAAGAAAACAGAGAAGCAAUCCCAGACCCAAUAGUCCCCGAAACAAACAGACAAAGCCAUGUGGAAUAAACCUCAGCAAGGAAGCAAAAGUUCUCUACAAAAGAAAUGUGGAAUAAUAAACAAGUAAACUAUAGAAAGCACUAGGAAAUUAGAAAGCUCCCGUGGUUUUUGUUUGGAAUAACUCAUGUCCUGAAUAUGGCUAUACUAGAGACUGAAUGCAAUUCCUAUUAAAAUUCCAGUGUCAUUCUUUGAAGAGACAGAACAUUGAACUUUCGAAUUUGAUGGAAUUUUAAUUGAAUGGAACCAGAAAGAACAAGGAUAGAAAAAAAAACAUCCCUAAACAAAGUGAAUAUGACUAUGACGGGUUUGAUAUCAAAUUAUACUACAGAGCUAUAAUAACAGAACGGCAUGGCGAUGGCAUAAACAGAUACUGGCUCAAUACAGUACAGACGCAAGAUGCAGAUCUAGUCACACGAGGUUGCAGUUAUCUGUUUUAUUUAUAAAAAUGUCAGCAGUACACAGCAGAAGAGUAUCUUCAAAGAAUGGAGUCAGACAAACUGGAUAUUCAUAGGUAGAAGAAAGAAUUACUAGACACUAUCUCUCCCCAGGAGCUGUAACUCAAGCUGAACUGUGAACGUGGUUAACAUUGUAUCCUAUGUCAUCUUUUUUUCCCCCUUCUCCUGUUUAUUUUCGUUUGUUUUAUUUAUAGUCUAAAACGAUCAGAUUCAAGUUGGUUAAUUUUAGCUAUGUAACAACCUGACAAGAUGGAGGAAGACGGCCUCUAAAGGGAUUGUGCCUAUGGUUUGAUUCACUUAGAAAUUUUAUUUUCUUACAACUUAAGUGUAAUAAAAUGUGUUUUUUUCAUGUAAAAAAGAGAACAUUUUGACAAUCGAAUGUUUGAGGAACAUUGUGGGGGUGACGUUGGCUUUCAGCAAUGAAAAAUGUAUCUCACUUGAUGGGCUGUUUUAAUUUUAUUUUUGCUUAGUAUAGAUUAGACUUUCCUCUUUACAGUGAUGGUAUUUCAAAGUAUUGUCACUUGGUUGCGCUUAUAUUGUGCUUUUCAUUAAACAAAUAUAAUGCAUGCACAUGGUCUAAUAAAGGAUGAAAAUGAUUUAGAUUCGAAUGUUUUUAUUACAGAAGUUCUUUUACAACUAUAAAUAUUCAUUAUUAAUGCAUUACACUAUCUUAUUCAAUCUUGUCCAAAUCCCAAACACCUGGAAUUAUCUGGCAUUGUUAUGCUGUCACGAAUUGAGAUGUGGCUUUGAUAUAACUGUCUUUUUUUUCUCUCCUGAGAACCCUAAAUGGUUCUCAAGACUUGCCUCCUUGGAAGUUGAGCAUUACCAUGAAAUGAUCCCAGAUGUCAGAUCAGAUCAGAGAAUCCUGGGUUCAAAUCCAGGCUCUACUACUCACCAUGUUUGUGAUCUCAAGCAGUGCUUUCCUGGUUUUUCCUCUGCAGAACAAUGAACCUUAUAUACCUCAUUUAUGAGGAUAUUAUCAGAUAAUACAGAUAAAAUGAGCACAAAAAUCAAUAACUGGAAACUUAAAUGUUAUCUACCUGGAUACGUGUAAAAAAAAGUCUCAAAUUAUCCUUUUGAUCCUAUUUCAAAAUCCCCAUCAAUUUCCCUUACAUAGUAACAGUAGGUGACAUGUUGGUUUAGAUAGCCGAUAAGAAAUCCAAUGGUGUGGAAAUUUUCUUGUACAAAACCACCACAUGUAGUACCUCCCCACUGACAUAUGCGAUGUUUCCUAACUACCCAUUACUAAAUCGUGGAUUUCUACCAUUUAUGAAAUAUAUCACUUGUAGAAAUAUGGAGAUACACCUAAUUUAAGUGUGACACUCCUAUUUCCUGGAAGUCAUUAGAAUAUUAUGGGUAACAAAUCAAAUCUCUCCAGCUUACAAUGCCUGUCAACGGGGCCACAUGACGAGCAGCUGGGCUCUGAACUCCACUGUCUUAGCAAUUGGUGCCCUUUUAUUGAAGUAUUCCAGCUGACUUAAAGCCAGCUUAGAAGACCCCCAAGAGUUCUUUGUCAUGAUAAAACACAGGCAGUAUGGUUAAAAUGUCAAGACAUAACGAUUGCUUGCAUAUAUCCACUUAUAAAUGCAAACACACACACACACACACACACACACACAAACACACACACACACAUCACAUCACAAUUUGGCAAUAGAAGACAAUGCCAGAUAAGACUCUGACAUCAUAUCCAAGCCUUUCUUGUGACCUCUAUUUGGGUCAUAUGACUGAUUUCUGCAGAAUUUAGAAGUAAUUGUAUGAACAAAACGACCCUCUCUUAAACUUAAGCUACAGCAUCGAUCAUUAGUGUAUUUCACAUGCUGUGAAAACUAUAUUUGGCAUCAUCAACAGCUGCUCGCAUGGAUUGUUCGGCACUAAAAUAUGAUUGGUGAACACUCAGGAUUUUAUUUCGUGGUAUUACUCGCAAUUAUGGGGAUGUUGACAGAUUGGUCUCCAUCGCACUUAGCCUCAAAGAAAUAAACAGGUCUGUAAUAUUCACAUUCCCUCUCUACGAUUUUUUUCUUGAUUUUUUUCAAUCGUUUUAUUGUAUCAAGGAAAAUAAUUUUCUCUUUUAGUUGAUUUUGCCCUGAAUGCAAAUUGGUAUCAUUUGCACGAACCUAAGUUAUUCUAAUAGUCAUGUUUUAGGAUAUUGCUACUAAAUCGUUGUCCCUGGAAGUUCACUGAUGUCGUGAGAGAGUGCUAUGAUAGCUUUUUGACUCUGGCAAAAUAAGGAUAAGAGUUUAUCACCAAAAUUACCACCUGUGGGGCUUUGUCGUGGUGGCUAUGGUUUUCAGUGAGCAGAGGCAAUGGAGUUAGCUGUGAUGGCUUCAGGAAAGCAUAAAGGACCCUGGUAAGACAUGAGCAGGGUAGAGUAAUAUAGGUAGGGUAAGAUGUGAGCAGGGUAGAGUAAUAUAGGUAGGGUAAGACGUGAGCAGGGUAUGAGUCAAAUAUGUUACCAAGGGAUGAAUGAACAGGAAGAAAAGAGGGAACAUACAACCCUGUUCCUCAGGCUCAGGGACUAUUGCAGAAGGGAGGCAUACUGAUUUUAAGAGCCAGAGGGUCAGAGAUUUUGUGCGAGAUUUUCUUAGAAACGUCAGAAGCUACACCCACUUAUUCUCAUCAACAUGGCUGCCCAAAUGUGCUAAUUUUUUUAAAUGUGUACACCUACUUAAAUAAGUGUUUGUGUAUAAGGUUUUAGACUACAUGGAUGAGAAAUUCUUUGUAAUGUUGGGGUAAAACGUUUAUUAUAUGUACAUAAAGUUCAAUACUAAUUCCUUUUCUCUUUCCUUUUCCUUUUUCCUUAAAAGAGCUUGCUUACUACAAUUUCUUCCUUUAAACAUUGAAAAGAAUUCUCAGAGAGUUCAUCUUAGCGUGAGUUUCCAUUCUGAAAGUAGCUUUAAUUCCUAGUCUUGACCAUGAAAAGAUUUAGAACUUUUCCGAUUUUACAUCCAACUCCUGUUUGUUUUAAGUUGCAGUCUUUUGAGAAAUUGUUUGGCUGCUCCUCCAAGUUUAUUUAUUUAGAACUCCAUUUCUUAUCUACUUGAUAUGUUCAGGACAUCUGCUAAUGCUGCUUUUGUGUUCCCACCUGAUAGUCAGAAUGUGAGUCAUAAUAUCUUUUUCAUAAUCUGACUUGCUUACUUGUAGCAGUGUUUGAAAUUGUGUGAUUCUUUUCAAGAACACUAGACACUAGGGGUUUUGCUUGGUAGAAUCAGAUGUCCUGUUGGGAAGUUGUUUCCCCUGCUGUAUGGUGACAUUGUUUAAAUCACUCUUAUAUAUGUAUAUAUUUUUGGAAACUUCUAUAGUAGUACAUUUCCAUAUGGCUUGUAAAAGGGCCAUUAGUGUUUGUUGCCCCUCUCCAUAUUUCUUCUUUUACCCUACCCUCUGACCCUUCUCAUUUUAUUUUCCCCUUUAUUUCCUUACAAUAUUUUACUAUAUUUCUCCUUUUACAGAAGAUCCCCUUUUUCUCCUGGGGCCUAAAUAGCUACGUAACCUCUGGUUAUUUAGAUGGAGGCGCACUGAUACAAAAGGAAACAUUCAUGUAUUGCUAUUUCAGUUAUAGUCUAUAAUGUUUUAAGCUAUGCAAUUAGAUCAUUGAUUUUUUUGGUCAACUUUCUGAUUUUCAAACACAUACAUUGAAGGCUAUAAGUAUCUCUAAUCAGAAAUUUAGUUAUUUUUACGGUUUUUUUUUUUCGGAGCUGGGGACGGAACCCAGGGCCUUUACGGGUUUUUAUAUAGUUAAUUUUCAUUCUCAUCUUUUCCUAAAUUAAAAUUAUUUUAACAGGUUUUGCUUAGUAUCUAGAUACAUUUCUGCUUUUGAGUUCUAGCUUAGUUCCACAACCAUCAGAGCACAUAUAUGUUAGAACUGUGGUGAUUUAAGAAUGAGAGUUGUUUUAUUAGUUAUGUGGUCUAAUUUGAUAAACAUUUAAUAAGUAUUUUAAGUAUCAUAUAUUUCACAUAUUUUAAAUGCAGUACCUUAUGAAUGCUAAGUAAAAAAGCUUAUCAAAUAGGCUAAAUAUUUUGCAUCCUUACUGAUUUUAUUUUGUCCUUAAUGUGCUGGCAAUUGGGAAAGUUACAUUAAAAUAGCUAUCACUGAUUACAAAGUUGUCUUCUUAAAAAAACUGAUAUGUUGAAGAUAUAUAAGCAUCGAACACAUGUCUUUCUGAUGACAUGACCUUCUUGUCAUUUUAAACUGCCCUUGUUUCUAUUGACUAAUGUGUUACAGCCCAGUUUAUUACUACCAGAGUAAUAAUUAACUUUUAAAACUGUAUUAGUUGCUCCAUUCUAAAUCUGAUAUACAUUUUGUAUGCAAGCUAUUUAUUUUACUAGCUUUGGGUAGAGUUUCUUGAUUUUUAGUAUACAUUUUUUUGUCUAACAUGAAAAUACAUGCUCUGUAUGAAUGUAAGCAUUUCUUGUAUCUCAAUCUCAUUCUCUCUCUUGCUCUCUUACUCUCUCUGUCUUUCUUACUCUCUCUCCCUUUCUCUCCCUUUGGGAAAUCAAAUCAUAUGUGUGUCCUUUUCUUGUUUCUUUUUAUUUCUUCUGAGCAUAUUUAUAUAUGUAUUUUUGUAUAUAUGCAUUUGUAAGCAUAUGUAUAUAUGUAUUCUUGUAACUUACCUUCUUCUUCACUGUCUUUAUUUUGUGUUGGUUUUGCUCUAUGCUAAGUUUUAAGUUCAAUUGUUUUACUUUAAGUACCAAAAUGCUCAUUCUCUUAAUCAUUCCUGAAUUAAAAUUAUCUGGUUAAAAUCUAGUUAUCUCCUUUAUUACACAAAUUAAUGAGAUAUUUAUUUUAAAACCUGUACCAGUUGAUAAACUAUCCAUCAAGUCCAUUUCUAUCAUUUCUGGGUUUUGGUCAUUUAAUUGUCUGCUUUUGUAUGCCUGGAAGUUUUGAAUUUGGCAUUGUUUAUGAAAGUUUGACAGGAUCAUGUCCUGCCUGAUGUCUUGCCCGAGAGAGAAUUGCCUUUUUUUCUUGGAGAAAAAUGAAGUAGGGAUAGAUCGGCUUCGUCCAACAAGGAAUGGGCGUGGUCUACUUACAUGUCAAUCAUCAUGAGAGGUUUCUAUUUGCAUUUUUCCCUAGAUAUCUAGGUUUCAGCUUACAAGUCUCAGAUGAAAUGAUGGUCCCUUUCUCUUUAGGGAUACCUCUGGUGGUUGAAAUGAGAAAUGUUCCCCAUAUGUUAGGAUAUUUAAACACACGGUCCCCACUUGUUGACCGUUGUUUGAAGAGGUUUAGGAUGUGUGGACUUGUUGGAGGAAACAUGUCCUCGGGAAUGAGCUCAGAGAGUUUAAAGCUUUGCUCUACAUCCAGUCUGUUCUUUCUGCUUCACGCUUGAGGAAAAGGCUGUGAGCUCUCAGAGUCCUGAGCUCCGUGCUGAGUCUUCUGUGUCCCCUCGUGCUCUCACGCUUCCCUCCCUCAGCCCUUCUCAGUCAGGAGCUCAGGUAAAGCCUUCUCUUUAUUAGUUGUGUUGGCUGUGGUGUUUUUUCACAGCAACAGAAAAGUAACUAUCAAGUACCCAAAGUCUAGUUUUUGUUCUCUAGGCCCCGCAGCAUGGAUGGCAGCUGUGAGCACCGUUUUCUUUUCAAGCUUUCUGCUAUGAACUGCUUAUGAAUAGGUAACAGCCUCCAGUGAAAUGUGUCUUCUCCCUGGAUCUCAGUGUGCUCCGUCAAAUUGCUCCUGCCUAAAUCAUCCUCCAGUGCGUUCAGACAACAUUUCCUUGCUACAUUUAUAGUUGUUGUUCUUGUAUUAAUAUACCAUAAGCUACUUUGUGAUAGCUGGAGGCAGAAAUCCUGCCACUAAAGGAUAUUAAACAUAGCGAUGAUAUGAUCUGAUUUGCAUUUUAGAAAGAUUUCCCUGAACAUCAAUUUUCUCAUCUGCACAAUGAAAGAUUGAAGUAGAAACCGUUCUCUAAGGCCCAUUCAUCUCCAAUAUUCUGAAACUCAUGGGAGCAGUGACAGUAUGUCACACUACCAUUUUAAAGUGGAAAAACCCACUGGCUUCUGAGUAUUAAUCACUUAAAGCUGCAAAACACUAGAACUAGAGGAAAAUGACCAAGAAGACUAUUCUUGUCUCUGGUGUCUUCUUUAUGUUAAUUCCGGACUUCUAGGAACAUUAUCUCUUUCCCAAUCUGGUUAUUCGGGAGCUGGGCUUAUAUUACCCAUAUUCCAAACAGUCUCUCCUUUGGGGGCUGUAUUCCAGUUUCAUAUCUUCAUCUAUAAUGAAGAUAUUAUGGAAUUAGAUUCCACCCUCUUCACUUGCUUUUUACUUCCCUACAUGUUCAAAAUUCUAAGUUAACGAAGGUCAUCAUUUUAUUAAGCAAGUUAUAUCUACGUGAUAACAUUUCUACCUAAAGGUGUGUAUGUAUGUGUUUGUGUGUGUAUGAUAAUAAUUAAAGACAAGUUCAUGAUUUUGGAAGGGGGAGGAGACGCAGAAGGAGUUAGAGUCAGGAAGGGUUAAGAGGGACCGAGAUGCAGUGUUCAUGAAUGAAGAGCUAAAAAUAAAAAUCAAGCAGAAAAUAUACCAUGGAAGUAGUUAAUGGAAUUUGGUUGUAUAUAAGGAAAAAUGCAUUUAGGGUUUAAUAAAGAGAGAUAUCUAUGUAGGAAUCCAUUCGCAGCAAUUGUUAAAGAAUCAAUUACUAAUGUAAAUACUUAAGUUUGGUCCUGAGCUUGAGAUAAGCAGAGGUAGAUUGUAGGCAGCUGGGGUCCUCGGGAGAUGACACAGUAAUAAGCCACACAGCAGAAAUCUAUCUAUUGUAUUCUUUAGUUAAGACAGAGCUAAGAUUUGUCUUCAUCUCAGGGGUUGUCUUUUCAAUUGAGAAGUUUUUAUUCAUUCUAAUGUAAUAGCAUAUUAUAUUAGAAAGCCAAGAAAAUGAUACAUGGUUUCAUCUGUAAGUGGCUAGGAAAUUUAUAAAUUCAUUUUGUUUUUCUUGUGUUUUCUAUAUGGCUAGAUCUUAUUCACAGAUCUUUUAAAAAAUACUCUUUAAAAAUGUUUAUAUAAUGUACAUACAUUUUGUCCUAUUGUUAUCAGAACAAGCGUCAUUUUCAUACUGUGUGUAUAUUGCAUGAAAUAUACUACUCUACAGAUUAUAUUUAUAUACUCCAUUUUCCAUGGCACUUGUUCUUUGAGGCAUUUAUUUAACUGUUGCCUUAUCAUUAGAUUUAUUUUGAAUUAUAAAUAAUAUUCUGAGCAGAAAAUAUUUUCAACGAAAAUUGCUAUAAAUUGCUGAAAGAAGACAUUUAACUUCCUGUUACCUCAUCACUGCCUUCGAUAAGGUACUUCAUUUUUUCUUUGAUACAUUUCGUCCUUUUCUUUCUUAUUUCUAAAGUCUAGUAGACAUGCAUCGCAUUAAACAUUCAUCAUCCCUUCACCAUUCACCCUUGUUGAGCUUACUAUUUAUUGGCUUGACAAGUCUUGUAAAAUAGUCGUCUCCUAAGAUGUACAACUCCUUUGACCCGGCUAUAAAUAACCAUUGUUUACAUCAUCCCUGCAAAGCAUCCCUCCAGGAUCAGUUCUUCUCAUGUUCUGGAGUCAAGAUGGGUUCAGUGUUCGGUAGUGAAGGACGAAUUGCUGUCCAGGUCAGUAAGAUGGAUCUGUACACUCAGAAAUUGAUUAGUGAGUUCAAAUGGAGUUUUCUGGCCAGGAGAUGCCUGUGAUCAAGACUCUUUUGAACACAACUAGUGUUGUGAGGUUUCUAGUGUAUAUCACAAAAAAGGAGUGUCAUUACCACCCCAAAAGUGGCUACAGUUAUGUUGUGAAUGGAUGGGAAAACAAGCAAAGAUUAUAACUUUUUCAUUUGUUGAGUGAAAGUUUAAAAGAUCAUUUAAGGUGGAUUUAAGGUGGCAUUAGAAAAACUCCUCUGAAUUUAAUACCUAUGUACCUUAAAGGGGCCCAGCAAAUGUGGGAAAUAUUGCCUUGCCAGAAACUAGGAGAUAAUUUGACAUUAACUAGAAUUCCAGGCGCAGUGUGUUCAUUUGUCACAACAACCCCCAUGCUUCUAAAUGUCCAUGGCUUUUUCCUUUUCCCACCUCCAUUAACUACUUUUGGUAAUUGUAUUGCUCUCUCUUUCUUGACAGCAUUACCAUCAAAUUGGAAAGAGCCUUAGCGUCUGGACAUAGUAGAUGUUAGUUAAACAGUUAGUAUCAUGCUGACAUUUGAAAACAGAACAACUUAGAAGUUGGUAAUCUGUUUUGGAGCCAACAUUCCUUGUGAACUCUUACAAUUACUUCAACUUUCCUGAAAUGUAUGUUUUCUUAAGAGGGAAGUUAGGAUACAGGGCUUUUCCUGGGAUGUCUUUCUGGCUAAUUUUAUAGAAUUUCAACAUGGAGCAAGAGUAAUUUGUGUCAAUUGUGCUUUCCCAAAUGCUCUUCUGUUUGGAUGCUCUAUCUGAAUAUUAGAUUGCUUCUCCAGAUGUUACAGGCUCAUGUUUCCUUCUGCUACAUUUGAUUGUUGAUCCCUCCCUAUGUUCCUCGGGAUUUCUAUUAUCUCUCUGACUUCGGCAAAGUUUUUUUAUAAAUGUUCGGUGUUUCAGAGUUUGGAUUCAGUUCAGAAAGAUGAUAUUUCCAAAGGACUUUUGUUCAUUCAGUUCUUCCCUUGAGAAUGUUGAAAACAGUUAUCUUUUUCUCCUGCUUUUGUAGGGUGAGGGUGCCAUUGUUGUUUUUUUCUCUCUCUCUUAAUAUAUUGGGGAUAUUGACCUCUUCCCUAAACCUUAGGUCAAAGGAGAAGUGGUGGUUGUUUUUGAUUGGAUGAUUGUGUCCAUAUGUUUUGCUUCUGGAGGGAUCUUGUUAAAGGAAGAGUGACUAUCCGAUACUCCUAAGGUCAUUUUAGAAAAUGGCUUUAUAAAACAUGAUAACAUAGGAUUUGAUGGCAGAUAGAUCAUGCUUUGUGCUUUAGUUCAACACUUAACUCUCUGUGUGACUUCAGGCAAACUGUUUAAUGUACCAGGGCAUCAGUGUGUUAAUUUUUUGAAAGUGUUGUGAUUAGUAUUAUCAGUAUAGCAAAGAAAUGCCUUGCUACCUAUGAAAACCACGUAACUAAUAAGUUCCCCAAGGUGUUUAGCCUGGUUUCUGAGACAUACAUUUCAUAAAUAAUAUCUGAAAAAGUAAAGGCUUAAAAAAACAGAAUGUAAUAUUGCAGCUUCCUUUAGAAAAUAUAACUUCUUUUCUGUUUAAGGUUUAUUGCUGCUUUAUUUAAAACAUUUUAUAUUUUGAAAUUAAAUUAUGAAUAUACCAAUAACCCCUUCCCCUUUCCUCUCUCCACCACGUUCCUGUAAAAUCUCUUGCUCUCUCUCAAAUUUACACACACACAGGCACAUAUGCACACAAAUACAUAUAUUCCUAAAUAUAUAAAUAUAACCGGCUCCUUCUGUGUAAUGGCACUUGUAUGUAUAUGAGUAUGUAAUAGUGGGAUGCAUAUUGCGGUGGUAACCAAUUAGCUGUCUAAUUGGACUUAAGGCUGACUCAACAACAGAGAGAUCAGAUCGUGGCCAACUACCUGGGGCUAGUGAGGCCAUGGACUUUGGAGGAGAAUCUACUAUAACCACCUUAUUAAACCAGAGCAAUUCCUAACUGCAUUUUCAUUUUUCAGAGUUUUAAAUGAUUCACUAUAGAAAGUCACAGUUGGAGGUAAGGUGGGCUCUGCCCUCUAUCUUAGAUUCCAGGGGCUGCUCAAAGACUUGAAUGUGAAGGUGACCUGACUUCUACCAUUUGCUCAAUUGCUCUUAUAGGUAUUUUGUUCCUGAUUUUGAGUUUCGUUUCCUGUGUUUUUGUAUUGGAGAGGGAGAAGAGAAUGAAGCUGGGUGGGUCUGCAGGUGGGGACAAUAUGGCAGGUAUUUGGGGAGGGAGGAAAAUAGAUAAAACACAUUGUAUACAUUUUGUAAGGAAAAGAAAAAUCUUAGGUUCUCACCAUGAUUAAUUAAUUGCACUCCAUGAGUCUGGACAUUAGUUAUCCCAUGUAACAGAGCACCACCGAAAAGAAGGUCCUGAAAUCCAGGAGACAACUCACCAGAGCUACCAUUUCUGUUAUCACUAGGAGAGCAUCGGCAGUCAGUUCAUUAGAAUAGUCAGUCACAGCAACACACCUGCAGCUCGGUGUGCCCUGGAGCUGAGCAGAAACUUGGCAUUGAAAGUGUGUGCCUCUAUUUCCCCCACCGUUCUUGCACACCUUAAGGAAAUAUUCAGGCUGUCCUUUUUUGUGUUUAUCGAAGCUUAAUUUUACAAUGCAUGCAGCCAAUCAGGUUCCUGGGCUUCAGGUCAAUUAUAACUUGUGACUAGAGCUGGACUAUUUUUAUCACGAAUAGUUUCGACCUCAGAUCCUCUUAGUAUUCCUCUUAAAGCAUGUAUUACAUGAGAAAAACACACAUGCAGAAAUUUCAGCCAGAGCCUAUGCAUUUAUAGCAUUAGUUACCUGAAAAUGCUGUCAAAAUAAAAAGCAAGACUUUUGAGUGAUAAAAGUGGUCAAGCCAAGGAGUUGGUUGAAUCACCCUGUUUUCCUUCCAGAUCAUCUUGCCUAGGGAUUCCUGUCUUGGUGCGUUUCUCUGAAAAGAUGCUUUAAGAAAAUAUUUCGGAGUGACAUUUAUUAGUUUUGAACUCUUUCUGAUCCUAACUUGAAAAGGGCAUUUUCUAUGGGAUGUUGUGUUUUACUCCCCUAAAAGUCCCAUUUUUUUUCACAUUAAAGAGUACAUUCAGAUAAAACAAACUCUGUGGAUUUACAUGGGCAGGAUCACACUGGACUUUCAUUGCAGAGCCACUGCAUUUAUCUGAGAAUGCGAAGGCUGAAUUCUCUUUGCUUUGAAGUAGCCUGGGGUAGGGUGUGUUUGUGUAACUCCGAAGCAUUUGUUUCAGUACGUGAUGAUAUUCCAAGACCGGAAAGUUCCAGAAACAACGACUUUAAUGCAAAAUAGAGCCUCACAUGUAAAUUUGCUGCUUGAAUUUUGCAUCUCUUUUUAAUUCACAGAAAUCAUUGUGCUGUUUGGAAAAUGACUUAUAUUUUGCACGAAAUGUUAUGCCAUUAGAAAAUUCUAUUAGCUAGCAAGUAUUAGCUGAAGGAGUAUUAGUAUAAGGAGAUUUGUUUUCUAAGACAGCUCAAGGGUUUGACUUCUUGUUUGUAUCAAUCUUUGUAUGUUAGAAAGUAGUAGUUAACGUUUACAAAGAUUUUAUAAUAAUCUUCUAUAUUAAUUUGUUAAAUCACAACAGUAGCCCACUGAUAUCUUACAAACAAUCAAAUUUAAAAAAAAAAAACAUAUUCUCUUAGAAAUAGUUACCAGAAGAGUCGUUACUUAGCAAAGGCCAGAGAGAGUGGAAGGAAAGGGAAGCUGAGGAGAGAUUAGUCGGUGGAUAAAAUUAGGAAGAAUAAAUUCAUAUGUUCUCUUAUGCAGUACAAUGGCCAGGUUUUAGCUCCUUUUAAGUGAUUAUUGGAUUUUAAAAGGUUUCCCUCCUAUACUAGGGUGCUGUAUGCAUGCCUGAGGUGAUGGGCAUUCUAACUCCCCUGACUUAAUCAUUGUAUGGUAUGUUCAUGUAGCAGAGUGGCAGACUUCCUAUAUAUAGUUAUGUGACAAUUUCCAUAACUAUCCCGCCUAAGAUAAUAGAACAUAUACAGAUAGAGAUGGUGCCCACUGUCUCAGAUCACAAAGACAGAAUAUGCAAUAACUGAUUCAAUGCACAGCCAUGCCAUUUCAGUAUUUUUAAAAGUACCUUAGUAAUAUUUUUUAUUCCUUGAAGUAAUGUGUCUUGAUUAUAACCACUCUUUACUCCUCCCUCAAGCUCCCUCCAGGACUCUCCUAAUCACAUACCACUCUAACUUUAUAUCCUUUUAAAAUUUUAACCCAAUAAGUCCAGUUAGUGAUACCACCAUGUGUGUGUCUUUAGGGUCAUCCACUGGGGAUAGCUUACCAAGUGUCACCCUUCAAGGGUAAAUGACUGCCUCCUGUCCUUACCCCAUAGCUAUUAAUUACCAUGAAUUUCUGAACUCAAGGUAGGGCUUCUGUAGUCCUUCCCUCAUCUAUGUUGGUCUGUUUAACUGGUUGGGUUUUGUGAACGGCUUGUGUGAUUCCCAAAGGUACUGUAUGAUCAUGUGUGCUAAAGUCAUGUCAUUUCCAGAAGACAGGAUUUUAUAGCAAUCUUCCCAUCUUGAGCUCUUACACCCUUUCUAUCGCCUUUUAAUUAGAAAGACACUUUUCUGCAGAUAAACAUUCACUGUCGCUUAUUCUCAGCACUUUGAGUAAUAAUGAGCCUUUGCACUAGACACUGUCUUACUGACGAGGGUUGAGAGCAGCUCAAAUCUAUGAAUAUAGAUAUAUAUAUUUUUUUUUUCAAGGAAGGUUAACACCAUAAUCGUUUAGAAAAACAAUAUCUUCCUCUUAGACUAUAUGACCUUCCUAUUCAUGGGUUUUGACCAUAUUUACAUUAUGAGGCAUGAAUUUUCUUUUAUUGAACAGAUGUCAAAUCCAAUCAAAAGAGUAGUUGGUUACCCCCAUAUGUAUUUUUGGCCACUAUUUCAUCAUGUUUGCCUGUUAGGUCAGUAUUGUAGCACGUAAGAUCAGUAGUAGGUAAGACCUUUGGUCCUUUUCCUGCUCCAAUAGCUUGCAUUGUACCUCCAAGCAAUAACAUGUGACUCAACCAUCUCUGGCCAUGUACACAAGGGCUUUUUAAAAAUACAUUUUUGAAAUUAUAAUGUAAUUAUAUCAUUUUCCCAUUUCCUGCUUCCCCCUAACCUUUCCAUGUGUCUCCAACUUGUUUUUUCAAAUUCAUGGCCUCUUCUUUAAUUUAAUUUAUAAAAUUAAAGAAUGCUAUUAUAAUUAAAAAAUGUGAAUAUUAGGAAGAUAUAUUAUAUCCCUAAAUAUAUAAGUAUAACCUGUAUACUUAUAAGUAUACAGUCUAUAUAAGUAUAGUCUGUAUAAUGAUACUCAUAUAUAUGUUUUUAAUUUUGACCAAUUACUAUUGGAUAAUCAAAUGCUGUUAUUUUCCCUAAGAAAGAAUAUUUCUUCAAUCUCUCAAAAUUCCUUAUGGGCUAAAGCUCAUGAGACACCCCCCCCAAAAGAGGUUAAUAUCUUACCACAGAGAUAUUUACAUAUCUAUAGUCAUUUACAUUUUAUUCAGAAUGGCUGAAAAAUAAAACCACACCUAGAUGUCCAUUAACCAAAAUUGGAUAAUAAAAAUGUGAACUAUUAUUAUGCUGUAAGGAAAAAUGAACCUUUAAAAUUUGUAGAUUAAAGAAUGGAACUGGAAAAAUUAUAUUGAAUGAGGUUAUUUAUUUGUAAAAACACAAACAUCAUGUAGUCUCUUUCAUAUGUAAGUACUAGCUUCAAAUAUUUUUGCUUGCGUUUUAAGCGUUUCCAUGCUGCACAUGGAAAGUGUGCAGAUGCCAGGAAACUGGAAAUGAGCCAUUGGGAGAGGUGCAUUAAAGGAAUGUGGUUAAUAUAGUAUAGUUGAAAUGAAAAUAAAGGGGAAAAAUCUAGGGUCAGAUAGAUGUAAGUAGUGGAAGGAUUUACCAAAAUGAGGUGUGUGUGUAAAAACUGUAUGAAAAAAUAUAAUCUUACAAUUCAAAAAAAUACAAGAGGAGAUAACAGAAUACACCUGGUGUGAAAGAAUUGUGGCUUAUAGGGAAUAAGUGGGGUUGGGAACGACGGAAUGGGUGAAUGGGGACUUUAGAGUAUGUCCAUCCAAAACUCAGCACUAUGAAGAAGGCUUACAGAAAAUCCACUAGUGUGUAAAAUAAUUUUAAAAUGUGAUUUACAACAACAACAGCAACAACAACAGCAGCAACAAAUCCAAUGUAAGAAAAGAUAGGGUUGCUAUUUUUUGUUUUAACAAAGAUAUUUCACAUGAGUGGACAGUGAUUUUCCUGAGAGAUUUAAGUGAUUAGAUAAAAAUCUCGGUGCCGUGCAUGUGUUACCUCCCUACAAGAGUUAUUAAUCAUGAAGACCCAAAACAAUACAUGCUCUUGGGAUUGCUCUUGGCUGCCCACCAUUGCUAGAUAGCAAGACUCUAAUGUUGAAGACUCAGUUUGCUUUGCUUCAGGACAGAGAGAAAUCAAACCCUGAACCGACUGGGAAUCUCUCCCUGUUGGCCAGUUACAAUUACUUCGUUCUCAAAUACUACACGAGGGAUAAGUGUUUCUUUUCAUAAUUGGUAAACAUGAUAACAAAUAAACAUGAAUAAAUUUGAUGUAUAUCACAUAUAUACAGAGAGUCUAUCUUACAUAAGUUAUCAACAUAUGCCCAGAUUAAAAAAUAAUCUUAUUUCUUAAUAUUAUAAUUUGAUGCCAACAUUAAAGUGCUAGGACUUAAUGCACUUGUGACAGGAAGAAUGUAUGUACAAAUUUGAGUGCAUGUUAAGUCUGCUCACAGCUAGAAUACAUUUCAUGUAUAUUUUAUAAAAUCAAUGGUAUAUGAGGCCUACACCGAGUUAUAGUGGUUGUAACCUAUUCACAUAUGUGUACUGUUCUAAGUGUGUGUAUGUGUGUGUCACAUCCAAGAAGCUGAGAAUUAAUCAGAACCUUUAGAACUUUAACAAACCUUUCAAAAUAUAUUGAAUAAGUUACAAAGUUGAAAAUAGUUCCCAUUAUUCCCGUGUCUUAUAUAGUUUUGCUAUAAGGAAAAAAUUAUUACAGAUACUCAUAGAUUCUUUAUAUGUGUUUAUUUGUUGGCACAUCCACCUGACCACAUAUAAUUAAGCUUGCAUAUUUAUGGGUUCUGCAACCUGUGGAUUCAACCAACUCCCGGAAAAAUCUAUUAAGAAAAAGCUGUGUCAAUACUCAACAGGUACAGACAUUUUUGUCACUCUUUCAUGAUUAAUGUAGAACAGCAAUGAUUUACAUUUUACUAAAUUUUGUAUGUGGACCAAGCAUAAUUUGAGGACAGAUUAUAUGCAAAUAUCACAGCAUUUCGAAAAGGAGACUUGAGCGUCUGUGGAUUUUAGAAUGUAAACAAACUCUGAGAGAUGUCUCUUUAGGUACUGGUUUCCCCCCUCCAUUCUUCUGCCCUUACACCCCCCCACACACACACAGAGAAAGAGAGAGAGAGAGAGAGAGAGAGAGAGAGAGAGAGACCAAAUGAGAGAAACAGAGAUGGACACAAACAGACACCAAACAUAAACACAGAUGCACAUACAGAGACACAUACAGGCAUACACAUACAGUGACAUACAUACACAUAUACACAUCCACCCCCCCACACACACAGAAGACAGACAGACUGACACGCACACACAUAUACACACAGAUGUACACACAAAUACACACAGAGACACAUACACACAGAUGUACCCAGAGAGAGACACACUCACACACUUUUGAUUAGAGAUAUUUUAUCAUGGUAAACAGCUUUUCUACUUAGAAAAAAAUGAUUAUCUAAGGAAAAGAGUAAUCCCAGGUAUUUAAGUUUAUGGAUAUAGAUUGGCUAGUAGCUACUAUUUACUGAACCUUUCCUACAUUAUGAUCUGAACUUGCUCCAUCUGUCUAUUUAUCGACCCAGCCACCCAUAUGGUCUUUACUAUUUUAUCCUAAGACGUUAAAUUUCAUGGUGGAUAGAAGAGCCCUUUGUUAGUGGCAUUCACUGAUACACCAAAUCCUUCAAGUUGCUUAUGUAGGCACCCAGAAUGUGCUAGAUGAAUCAAAUAAGAUAUUUUCAUCUGGUAUGUUGUAUCAUAUCUAAUUUGGCAAAUAGAAAUCGAGACUCGGAAGAGGUGUAGCUUUAGUCUCACUUCACAAGUGGGCUAAUGGUGCAAGGAAGGAAAUAGUUGUCUUCAGGGUUACUUUGACUCCAAGUCUCUGAAAACACUCCUGGGAAUGAGAACGGAUCACUUGGGGCCCACCAGGCCACAAAGGUCCCUGGCCUUUUUCUGAUACAAAAGAUUAUACAAAGCCCUGGGAAAAUUCUCGUGUUCAAGGUGUUCAUUUUCUUGUGUUGGAAUAUCACGAACAGCUCCAUGGAGACCCUGCGAGUAUUGCUUUGUAGUUUUCUUUCAAACAUAUUUUGCCGAGCUAUGUGAGGGCUUCUGUUUGUUCCAUAAUUUGGAGGGAGAAUGUGGCCUAUCUGAAGUGCUAGCCAAUAGGAUGAUUGAGCUGUGAAAAAUGAUACAUGGGAAAAAUUUAAAAAAUGAGAAAUAAAGGUUGGAAAGCUACUUACUGGGCUCAGCGAAGAGAAGUGGAUACACCAAGAAAUGUUCUAGAAUCGUUGUUAUGUUUAGAAAGAGUUAAGGUAAAAUAUUUUUAUCCGUAGAUGAAAGUAAUCCCUAGAAAUUUUUAAGUGUAUUAUCUAUUUAUAUUUAAGGAUGAAAUUACAUGGUUGCGUACACACUUAUUUUAUUAAACUGAGAUGUUCUAAAAAUAUAGCCCAAUACAGAAAUCUCUUUAGUAGGUAAUGCCUAAAAGAUAACCUCAUUAUUUCACAAGAUUUUUACUUUGAAGUAUGUUUUUGAUUUCAAGGUUGAGAGACUUCUCAAUAUUGGUAUACAGCCAGUGGAUGCUUUUCCUUAGUAAACUGGGUGAUAACGUAAUGACUUUUUCAUGUGUCAGUAUGUAAACUUGCUCUACCCAUCAGCCAUCUGUCAUCUGUCUAUCUAUCUUCUAUCUAUCUAUCUAUCUAUCUAUCUAUCUAUCUAUCUAUCUAUCUAUCUAUCUAUGUUUUAUCCAUCUAUUAUCAACUUGUCUGUCUAUCUAACAUCUAUCUACCUAUCAUCUAUCUAUUUGACUGUCUAUGUAUCUUCAUAUCCAUUUGUCUAUCAUCUAUCUACAAUCUAUCAUCUCUAUAUCCAUCCACCCAUCUUUCUCUUUCUUCUUCCUUCUUUUCUGUUUUUUCUCACCUAUCAUCUAUUAUCUAUCCAUCAUCUAUCUAUCUAUCUAUCUAUCUAUCUAUCUAUCUAUCUAUCUAUCAUCUACCUACCUAUCUAUCUACCUACCUAUCUAUCUCUCAUCUAUUUAUCUAGCUAACUACCUAUCAAUCAUCUAUCCAUCCAUAUGUAUUUUUGCAUAUUACAAGAUGUUCAACAAUGUUGAAAUGGAUGGUUAGUUGGAGAAACCUAAUGGAACAGGAACACUUUGCACUUACCUUUGUAAGCACUGCAAUUUCUGCUAAUGUGAUUGUAUCUUCAUAGUUUUGUUAAAUUUACUUAGUUGAAUCCUAAAACAUGGCCAAAAUUGGUGCAACUUUCUAAUGCAUUUCUGAUUUGCGUACAUUCUAGCUCAGAAGUUGUAUAAAACACAACUCAUUCAUUUUAUUUUAGCAUCCUAAGGAAGAUCCUAGAUAAAUAGGGCUCUUAAUUAAAGACCUAAGUAAUGAUGCAAAUUAAGAUUAGAAUAUGGUUGGCACUUUGAGUAUUCAUGAUGUGCCUAGUGCUAUAUUAGUCCAAAAAUGCCUUUGGAAGCCUUCCCUUUCAGGUUAUUGACUAAAUUCGAAUAAGCACAGAAAGUUGAAGCAGUUCCCUGUCUGCAGCCAUUGGCGUGUGUAUAAAUGAUUCUAGGGCAGGAAUCUAAACCAUAGUGCAAGUUUUCAUAAGAAUCACAAGGUACAAAGUCCCUAUUCCCAAAUAAUUACAGCACUGAACCUUAACUAUUAUGUAUGUUUUUGCAGGCAACAUAUUUAAGAUAGUGAAAAAAUGUUUUAAUGGAAAGACAGUAGAAAACUUUUCUUUCAGUAGAUGUUACUGUAUUGCUUGAAAUCAUCUUUUUUUGUGAUAGCCUAGGAAGGCUUAUCAUUCAGGUCCAAGGCUGCUACAACUUCUCUCACACUUCCAACAUUUUUCAGGAGAUAUUUACCCCAAGAUUGGUGUUUUUGCUUGUCCCAGACUCUCCACUGAAUCCUGUGUAUGUAUAUUUUGCCAUAGAAGAGGAAGGGGUAGAGAAAUGAGCACAGACAAAUGUAUAUAUGUCUUUGGUUAUAUAUUUAGUGUUCGGUCAAAAUAAUGUCAAAAGAGAUAGUUACCUAGGGGGAAAAUUAAUUGCAAUGAUAAAAUGUUCAAAGGGAAAUUUUUUUCCAGUUGUUGUAACAGAUGUAAGUCAUUUUUGACAUCAGAGAUGACUAGUGAAUAUCCAAAAGAAAAUACUGUACAGCAAAUACUUUAAUCUAAAUUUAAAAGAAAUUAAGUGAAGAUGUUGUCUGUGGAAGCAAAGGAAAUUAACUUUUUCCUGCUGAAGAAGUGAACUGAAGGGCAAUGGGUUUCUUAAUAUGCAGAUAUUUUCCUGGCUGACUAUAAGAGGAAGAAAUAUACAGAUGGGUGAAGGCCUUAGUGAGAAGACAUUCAUAGGGCAGAUACAAGGGUUUCAUGGUGCCUGCUACACCAAAUCCAUCCUUUAUGCACCCUCUCCUGUCCUCAGUAUCCUCCCUAGAGAUACUGUUUAUCAACUUUCAGUGUAUGGUCUAUAACUCCCACUUGGGUGUUUUUUUAAAAUGGCCCCCAUUCUUCAGUUCUAGCUUGACCAUCUUUCUCCCUUUGUUAAUAUUCACAUCUUUCUUUUAAACUUACCUGGAAUCUACAUUUGAACAUUACAUAGUGACACUUACCUAUUUUGUUUUAUCUUUUAUAGAUGCUUAUUUAUAAUUUUGUUUUUCUAGACCAGUGGUCCUACACCUGGGGGGUUGUGACCCCUUCAUUGAGUCAGUCAAACAACCCUUUCCCCGGGGUCACCUAAGACCAUCAGGAAACACAGAUAUUUGCAUUCUGAUUUAUAACAGUAGCAAAAUUAUAGUUACAAAGUAAUAACAAAAAUAAUUUUAUGGUUGGGAGUCACCACAACAUGAAAGGGACCACAGCUUUAGAUUAAUCAGAAAUUCUAAGCAGAAAGAAGAAUUCUGAACACAGAAGCAACGGUGUAUAUAGAUCCCACCCAACACUUCAUCCACAAGUAUGAGAACUUUGUGAACUGAAAACUACUGUGGCAUUAGGAUAUUUUCUAUGUUAGGCAGUUUGAUGAUUUUAGUUUGCACUGCUCACUUAAUCAUCCCAAAGAUCAUAUGUAAUAUAGCGUGUUACUCUCUUCGUUUUGGAGAUUUAAGUAUUAAUGUACAGAGAAGUAGGUUUGCUGGGGUGCAGGGCUGAUAAGAUACAAUGUCAACAUCAAUGCUGGAACCAGUUCUUAAUUCCUAACAUUUAAGUUAGUGGCAGAGGUACAGCAAAAUCUCUCUUACACACGUUCCUGUUCCAUUUCAGUGUUUGUGUUGUUCUGACAACACUAUUCCAUGGUGCUUCUUAUAUCAGUAGAAGAAAAAGUAAAUAAAUACAAGUGCUCACAGACAAUUUUCAUAAAACAACCAUGAGACCAUAUCUGUGUAUGCUAUUCCUGCUCUCUAAAAGCAAACAAUGACGUUAGACUGAGAGACUGAUAUACUGAUAGAAGGUCUCAAUCAUUUACACACAAACUAAUGAACCAGCAAAGUCACUCAUAGCAGUUAUGAUAUAUUUAGGUCUUUUCUUUCUCUCGGGGUAGCCUGCUAUCUGGAGCGUGUAAGUGAGGGGUUUCAGAUCAAAAUUUAGUUGUAACCAAAUUAUCAAUUAGAUUUCCAUAUGCAUCAGCACAGAGCUAAUCAAGAAGCCCUGCAGUAAAGUACCUAGUCCUUUUCCAACAUGCUUCUUGUCUUGAAUUCUUUGGAACUAGCAUGCCCAGACAUGAUUUAGAUGUAUUCUUUAGCAGAGAGAGAAAGAGAUGGAUUAAGCGACAUCCCCCGAGGUCCUCUUUGCUUAGAGCAAAUAUUCUCUAUCAUUCUAAGCUUCUGACUCUAAGUAAUAUUUGAAUUCCAUCCUCUGGCGUCCCCAGAACAAUUCAUGAUACUGCCUCCUUGGUUGAAGUACUUGGAUUUAUUCCCUCCUAUCCAGGCUACAUUCUACUUUUAACUUAAUGUGUUCUUUUUCAUUUUGAUGGCUCGACUUCGACCGCCACAGCUUCCUUUCUUUAUUUCCAGAGUUUAUAGACUGUCACUGGGAUUUCCUCUGGGUCUUUUAGCCAAGUCAGCUAUUCUUUGCUUCUCUAAUCUUCUGUUAUAACAGGCUCCCUGUUACUCAUCUCUCUGGUCUCUCACUCUCAAUUUGUUCCAGGCUUUCUGGUGGAGAUUCCCCUGUACCAAAAGCAAUAUUCCAGGUGCGACCACUUGAGAAUUAAGAGUGGUAUUUACACUUUUUUUAAAAACUCUUAUGUCUUUUCUCUCUGUAGUUCAAAAUAAUAUGCCACUAGGGUUGUCAUUUUGCAGGACAAACCCACAUGGAUGGGACAGCAUCUAGGCCCAGUUCCCUUUCAACCGGUUUCUCUAAGAUGACUUCCCUAUGUUUUACCCCCUUCUCUCAUGGAUCUGCUUUUUCAUUUAUUUUCUCUUGUUGGGGGAAGCUGGCCUCUUCCCAAUCUGACUUGCGUUUUGCUAUUUGAUCCCAAGAUCCACAACUCCUCUCAGACCAUCUGUAUUAUUUCUGUGUCCUCACUGAUGUUUUCCAACAUGCCCUAGCUCCCUGUCAUCUGCUGAUUUCAUUAGCACACUGUUGACUGUGUUCUCGAGAUCGUUAAUAAGGAUGAAUAAACAGAAACGCGUGACUUACUCAAACAGACGUCUGUGCGCGUUCUCUUAAGUUCCUCAACAAACUGAUACCAUUUUCUCCUAUCUUUCUGUGUUCUUUGCCCUGUGUCUGGUCCUGUUCGUUCCAUGUACACCCUGUUCUCAUCUCCAAGUGACUUCAUUUGUGAUGUGUUGUUCUUCCGCAGCACUUUAUAAUCAUCCAGACAAUUCAUCAGGUUUGUCUGGCACCAUUUUCUCCUUAUUAAAUCCAAUUUUUUUGGCUGUUUCUAUCGUUCCCUAGAUUGUAGCAGCUCUUUGCAUCAGUGAAUAUGCCCAGCCUGAUUUCCUCCCAUUUAUUAUUACUGUAUUAACCUAGACUGUAGGUGAGAAAAGAAUACAGAGAAGGAAGAGACUAAGUCUAUCUGGCUGUUUUGAGACAUCAACAUACACAAUGUAUUGGAAUGCUUUAGUCUAUCAAUCCAGUUGUACUAAGAAAACACCUAGUGUGUGUGUGUGUGUGUUUACAGAGAGUAAUAGUUGGGAAAUGAAAACCCCUGUGGAAUAUAGUCAACACUAUCCAGUGGGUUGGAAUCAAAGACAGAGUAAAAAAGGAAAACCAGUUGAAUAGCACUGUUCCUUUUUCUCUAUCCUGACUCAUUGAGAUGUAAGCAAGCAACCUUAGGCUCUAGCCUGUCCAGCAGCCAGGCUUUCCUUGUCAUGGUAGCCUGCAGUCCCAAAUCAUUCAUCCUGCAAGUGGCCCUGUGUCAAGUACUUGGUCACAGCCAUAGAAAAGGUAACUAAGACUUUCAAAUAGAGGCACCUGCUCGUCUGUCUUUGUCCCAGGAUUUAACAGAUGUAUCUGUACAAAAAGGUGGAAAUCAGUGGUGUGGUUUUCGAAAGGUGAUACUUCUGUUUAACUUGCAUUGAAAAAUCAAAUGGCUGGAUUUUUGAAAUCUGGCAGGAGUCACAGCUGGACUUAGGGAAUAUCUGUGAUGCACUUGGCCCUGUGCGAACACAAAAUUAUCUUAGCUCAUCAACUCCAAAAGGCGGGCAUUUGGUGGGGGGGGGUGCACCACUAAUCUCAAAGGUGUCAUCAUGAAGAUUAGAAAACUUUGUACCCUCUCGAGGAUGUGGCUCAUGUCUGAAAGCAGAAACAUGUUUGGUUUAGGAGUUAUUGACCUCUCAACACAGACACAUGUACUUAUAGCUUGCCCCAUCCAAAUGUACAUAACAGACUUUCCCCCACUUAAACAAAAAGGAGAAUAAGACUUGAGUGUUCAAAUUGGGGGUGGAGGUGAAGCCAGUUUCCUCUGUCAUAUAGCUCUUCUGCAGUUAGACCAAACAGUGACCAAACACAGGUUUCUUCAAUUGUGCACUAACUUUGCACAAUGGUUUGACCUUUUCCCCUAGAACAGAGUUUCUCAACCUGUAGGUCAUGACCCCUUUGGGGGUCAAACAGUCUUUCACCGGAGCUGCCUAAGACCAUCAGAAAACAUAGAUAUCUACAUUAAAAUCCACAACAGUAGCAAAAUUGCAGUUACAAACUAGCAACAACAACAACAACAACACCAACAAAUAUCGUGGUUGUAGGUCACCGCAACGUGAAGAGCUGAGGUAAAGGUAACAUCAUUAGGGAGCUGGAAACUGGUGCUCUAAAACAAUACAAAUACUUUAGGUUGAAGCCUUUAUUAUUAACUUUACUCUUAACUGCACUGCCAAUUUUCCUUCUGUCUUCAUUUAUAUUGACUUCAUUAGCCACUCUCUGUUACAGAGGCCAACAAUGACUGGAAUGGAGGGUGUAGCCCUUGAGCUAGAAGAUACCUUUCCUAGCCUUUACAGUCCAACUGAACCCUGCACUCCUAACACCGUUUGUCUAUGUCCAUUCAACAUUUCACAAGCUACAUAGCAAAGACAUUAAUAUUGAUUAAUUCAGUGAGGAACCCCAAACUCUUUUUAAGACAUAUUUCAAGUCCUUUGAUUGGCUGACAUAUGAUAUUAAAUACUGAAUACUUAUGAGAACGUAGAGGUAUGGGCAACUGAAAUGUGUAGCAUACAUAUGUACACACAUGUUAUUUUGUAUAAUGUAUUUUUCUAUCAAGGGACUAUAGGCUCACUUGAGUAAGCAGCCCAUCCUUCCCUUUCCUUCCUUCUUUUCGUGUGAUUUUUACUUUCCUUAAAUGCUGACUUUAUUGAGUGUACCUUGCUCUUUAAUUUAGAGAUUUUCCUGUCGAACAAUGUAGUUUUCUUGCUCAACAAGUCUGACAUUUGAGUAAAUGGAAGGAAAAUGGAUGUGGGAGCUGUGUGUUCAUAAUGCCGCAUUGCCACCCUGAAAUCUAUGCCGAUAAUCUACUUGGAAGGCUUUAAGUCCCACUGGAACAGGGCACCAGAACCAUCCUGCGUUGAUUUAUAGCACCUGCUACAGCUGUUUGGCUCAUGGCAGGCAUUUUAUCUGCAGCCAAAUGCCACUGCUGUCGCUGGGCAAGCCUAGAUGGAGGUCAUAUUUACUGGGCAUGUUUAUAAUCUGUAGAAUGAUCUAAGCCAUGGCGGGCUAAUUUCCCAAAGAUCAAUCACUAAGGGAGGAUUUCAGAGGUUAUGUUCUUUAUCCAAUUUCCUGUGUACUAAUGAGAUGGCUGGCACCUGUUUGGAAUCUUUCUGAUUAGAACUCUUCUGAGACUCAAUAAAGAAUAUGACAUUCAUAAAUCUAAAUAAGAGGUGACUUGGCUGCCCGAAUGGUGAAUCAUGCCAUGAUGAGAUGUUUCCCUGCCCCGGCAGGGUAUGGGUAUCAAUGACCAAUCUGAGACAAGGUCAAAACCGAAUUGAAAUUCUUGACAGUACUUGGCCUCUCCUGCUGAAUUCAAAGGACUCCUUUUAGUGUUAAAAUUCAUUGUUUAGGGUUUUUCAAUAAAAGUCUAAGCAACAAGUAUUUGCUUAAGUAUUACAUGUUGCAUAUUAAGAAAGAAGACGUGAUAAAAUUGCUACAGUAGAGUGUAAUGAGGAUUAUAUCUCAGACCCGAUGAUGAGGGUGCAGUGUAAUGGUGCAAAUAUUCAUAGCUAAUGUUUAAUAUAUUUCUCCUAUGGCAAAAGCAUAUUACAUGUUGCACAUAUGUAAUUCUCUUCAAUGCCAACAGCAAACUCAACAGUUAAGUCCUACAAGUAAUACCCAUUUUAUAAAUGAAGAAACUGAGAUCCAGAUUGUGGAUAAAUCUUCCCUUAAAUAUAUAUCCCAUUCCAGAUGUCUCCAUGAUUAUUCUGCCCUCUCUUAGCUAAACCUUUUCAAGAUAACUGUCUACAUUACUGGAUCCUCUCAACUUCUAUUUUAAGACAAUCAGUCUGGCGUUCUCCAUUACUAUCUAAGUGCAAUCGCUAAAUGGGCAACACUCUUUCCAUAGCUCCAAUACCAGCACUUCCAAUGGGCCAGACUCUUCCUUAUUGAAAAGAAACCAUGUUGAUUCCCUAAAACACACUGCCCUGUGUUUCUUCUGAAACCUUUCCAUGUGUUGACACCUCUUCCUUUGCUUAACUUCUCAUAAGUAGAACAUUUUAGUUUUAGUGUAGACUUAUGUCUGGUCCGUAGGACUUGCACUUUCCUAGAAGUCGGAUACAGUCUAUGAACUCUAGUCAUCUCUACUCAAACUCUCUCCCAAAUUAUGUGAUUUGUCUUCCCAUGUCUUUUGGCAUCAGUAUGUUUGCUCAAAAAGACUGGAAGCCUCCUGUUACUCUUCACUUUCCUUAACCACCAUACUCUGCCUCCUAACUGGAUUUUUUUCAAGACAGGGUUUCUUUAUGUAGCCCGGGCUAUCCUGGAACUCACUUUGUAGACUAUGGUGGCAUCAAACUCAUAGAGCUACCUGUCUGUGCCUCCCAAGUACUGCAAUUAUAGGUGUGCAGCCCCCAGCCCAGUUUUGCACUAUUUUUUUAUUUUAUUAUUUAUUUUAUUUACUUAUAUUUCAAAUGUUAUCCCCCUACAUAGUUAAAACCCCUACUCCCCUUCCCCACCCCCCUGCUUCUAUGAGGGUGCUCCCCACUGACCCCUUCCUGCCUCAGUGCCCUAGCAUUCCGCUAUGCUGGGUCUUUACCAACAAUGUUUCUUCCUUACUAUCCCAUAUCUUUACAUCUUGCCCUGCCUUCAUUACCUCCCUGUCCCUCCCUGAUUUCUGUACAGUUAUGUACUGAUGAUCACUGAGUGGAUAGGAUCUUAGAAUGGAAAACAGACAGGAUGGCUCAUUCCACAUCGCCAUGGAAAAUUCGGGACAGAGACAAAGAGUGAUCGUGCAGCGCCAUCAUAGAAAAUGUAGAGUAAGAACCGAGAGCUCCAGGAACCUGCUGGUGUGACAGGGUUCCUUUCUGUCGUCUUUGAAAAACGUCCCUGUCACUUAGUAGUUUAACCUUUAGACUUCCUGUUCUAAAUGCAAACCCUACCCCUGGGGGAAUUUAACAUUGAGAAAAAGUACAAAAGCCUAAGUAAGAACUCUUUCCUAGACUUACUAACCAGCAGAGGCAGAUUUCCUCAGCCACUUCUCCCUGGGGACUGGGACAAGAAAUCGGCAAGAAUCAAAUACUUUAGCCAAGUGACAGUGCAAGAAUAAGAGCGUUCCUCAUGCUCUGCCUGGCAACUUCCUUCCUUUUAAUGAGCAAGACAGGAUGCUCAUCAACAUCUCUAAUAUUUGGGAUUAAGCCUUUAUCUUUCUUUCCUUCUUUUCCUCCAUCCUUUCUCCUCUCACCGACCUCCCUUCUCUUCCUCUCCCUCCUCCCUUCCUCUGCCUGCUUCUUCUGACUAACUGGGGCAAUACCUUUCCAUCCUGUGUAAGCUAAGGCCUAAGUCACAAUAUUUUCCUUACCUUGGAGCAUAUGGCUUCCACAUCACAGGGGACUCCAGAGAUAGCAAAAGCAGGCUGAUGUGUUUUGCCUGCCUUGUAAGUUUGAGUUCCCCUUAUCAGUCUUUCAUGUUUAUUCUUGUGAAGGGUCAGUAGAGCGUUUGAAUGAUGGCAAACAAAACAAAACAAAACAAAAACAGAAGGAAAACAAAUGUGAAGAAAGGAUAUUAUGAAAACUCUUUCAAAGUAACUUGUGUUGACCCACCUCUCUGAGUCAGAGAAGGAUUGUGUUGCGGAUAAUGAGACAAGCUGCAGGGAGUGACAGACAGUUCCUCUUCCUAUCAGCUUUAGGGUAAUAUUCUGCUCCUUUGUUAGGUUAGAGGGAUUUUGUGAGAAUGUAGUAUUUCCGGUCUUCCCCUGUUCAUUGAGAAAGUUGAAGACGUCCCUAUUAAAAACAAAAGGGCUAAAGCCUGAAGUGCAUUUGGGGCUGGCUUUUCCUGCCAGAGGUGCGUGUUUUCCUUGUACACUUCAUUCUCACUCUGAGGCCUCUUUAUCUUCCCUCCGAGGGCCCUCUUCACCUGAGUGAGCCUCCAUCAUCAGGGAAUCGUCUGAGGAGUGAUUCAGCAGUGUGUGGCACAGCAUUGUCAAAUGGAGACAGUGCCACUCCGGCGACUCUGUGAGCUGAAGCAGCCUCCAAAGUGGUUCUGGCAGAGAGCCAGCGGCCAUUCCCGUUCUAAAGAAAAAAAAAGACAGAGAGAUCGCAGCACUCCAUCCCAUCCCGGCUGAUUCAUACCACAGCAUUGACAUUGAGCCUCCAGAGAGCUGUUCUCUUCCCAGUCUGGCUAAAAAUAUCCAAAUUCAGAUUUAUAAUGACAGGAGCUGAUAAAUUUGCUGGGGAAAUGCAAGCAGUGUCGCUGUCGUGCUAGGAAACCUGUUCUGAUAAAUUGAUGCGGGGAAAGAGAUUGCCAAACACGGCAGAGACCCGCCGAGCUUCUUCCCCUGGGAUGAUGAGCAAAAUGAGCAUGUUUUCCUUGUCAUCAAAGUCUCCUUUCUUAUCCAGGGUAGGCAGGAGAGUACAGCAGAUUACAAAAGAGUAUAGGGAACAUCUUGAUCAAAAGGAGAGCAUGACAUAAAACCAAACCUUAUCUUCUAUCUAGCAGACAGAACAGGCAGGGUGGGUCUCCCACAAAAAGUACUACCAGAGUUUGGGACUAAAGAUGGUGACUUCAAAGGUACUUUUCUCCUUUUUUGAUACCUACUGCCUCUCCUUCCACCCCCUGGCUCUGUCAAACAAUUUGCCAACAAUUGCUACAUUUGCUCCAAUCAUUUUAGGUCAUUAACUUUGGAAAUUAAUGUUGGCAGCAUUUUCCAGCUUGGCCUUUUGCCAACGUCAAGCUGGUGCAGAACGUGUAGGUGGAUGAUGCAGGCUUGGAGGUUUUCCCUAUCCCACAUUCGCUAAGACCACAAAAUAUCAUGGUUGGGUUCAGUGCACGAAUGUUACCAACUCAAGCCUCAGCUUGAGAUUUUCGACACCAUCGUUUACCAGCCCUAACAGCAUUAAGUGUCAAUCCCAGAAGCAUCGUUCUCGUCCACAACUAAAAGAAAGGCUAGGGACCCAAAGUGUAUCAGGACUCCACAGAAAGACAAGCAGAGUAAACUAUCCUGGACCCCUAGGGUCUCUCAGAGACUGUACCACCAGCCACAGAGUGAGCAUGGGUUGGCCCUAGGUCCCCUGCACGUUUGUAGCAGAUGUGCAGUUUCCUCUUCAUGCAGGUCCCCCAACCACUGGAGGGGGAUCUGUCCCUGACUCUGUUGCUUACUUGUGAAUCUGAUUUCCCUAACUAAGCUGCCUUGCCUUGCCUCAGUGGGAGUGAAUGUGGCAAGUCCUGAAGUGACUUGUUUUGCCAGGGUGGGGUUCUCUCCAUUCUCAGAGGAGAGAAGAUGGGAUGAUGGGGUGAAUAGCUGUGUGAGGGGAGGGCUGGGAGGAAAGCAGGGCUGUGAUCAGGAUGUAAAGUGAAUAAAUAUAUUAAUUGAGAGAGAGAGAGAGAGAGAGAGAGAGAGAGAGAGAGAGGAGAGAGAGAGAGGGAGGGAGGCUAGAACUUACAUUUCAUGCAGCAUUUAUGUAAUGAAACUUCAGACUUGAAAGCUACUGAGGACUUCCAUUUCUGUAGUCCUUCCUUUUCACCUGCCAUUUCUGUGAUCAAGCAGCCAUCGUUAAGUUUGAGCCCUGCUUGAAUUAAUGGCAGGUGACCAAAAACAUCCACGGUAAGCAAAACUAGAGUUUUAGGAUUCCAUAGGGAAUCCGUGAUGCAAAUACUUGAUGCACCUGUACAAGAAAAAAAAUAGCAUGGAUGGAUUGAUGAGCAGAUGAUGGCCAGAGGCAUGCUUAGAUCCAUUUCAAUGCUACCAUCAAAAAGGGCAACGGUGAAAUCUAGGUACUAGAACAUGGGUAAUGAUUCUGAAAUUGCUUAAACCAGGAAAUGGUUGUGAGUUAAUCAUGUUAUUAAUGUUGGGAGAUGGGAGAUAAGCUACUACAUAUCAAAGAUAAGAUAGAGAUGGGUCGGUAAGAACUACAGCACACCAAAUUAUUUCUCUGGCUCAUUGAAGGAUAAAUGGAAGUAAAGAAGUAGCUAGGGCAGACCCACAUACCCUCUUUUUUCUCCACUGGCUUCUGACUCUCUCAAGGGAAUCUGUCCUCAUUCAAAGAAAAGGAGUAACUCCCCUCAACCAGCAAUACACCCAUAGAUUUUUUCUAUGCAUUUUUUUCUGUAUAUGUUUCAGAAAAUAGAGCGGUUUCUGCCUUCAGAACAAUUACAACACAUGGCGAACAUGUUAUUCAAACAUGGCACUCAAGUGUGGGGCUUCAGCAAGAACGCACUUUUGAAAGUUUCGCAUUAGUACGUGGAAAGGGUAUUCAUUAGGUGACGUGAUAAAAUCCCAGAAGGCCUGAACCUUUGGGCCUUUGAAGACACAGGUACUGGCUGCUGUGAUUUGCCAGGGGUUGCUUACCUUCCUUUUGCUCUGAUAAUUUUCCUCUGGAACAGCUGAGCAACAAUUCGCUAUUAUCUGGGGAAGAACAGACAUUAAUGUAUUAUUCACUGUGAUUUUAAUGUACACGGGGAUAUAAAGUCAUAUAAAACACUAUAUGACAUUGCUUGACUUGUUCCUUCUCUUACUCCUCCUUGCUGCCCAAACACAGUUUUAACCAUUGCAAUGGAGAAUAGUCCUACCAUGCAGUUGGACUGAUGCUCCAUUAAACCCUCCAUUCCAUAUGAACACAGUGAAGUGACUUGGGAGAAGAGACUGUCUCCCAUGGUACAUCUAUUUUAUGACAACAUGAGCAACAGGUAGGCUAAUAAAGUUUUACUGAACAGCGAGGUUAAAGGAAGGUGAUAUACCGUUGUAAUGUGGAUUUUAUAAUUUUCAAGGGUAGACUAGAUAUGCUUAAAAUGUUUUGUGCUGUUAGAAAAAUGCAUAAUUCUCAUUCAAAGAAAAGGAGUAGCUUCACUCAACCAGCAACAUAUACGUAUACAUAGAUUUUUUUCCAUGCAUUAUUUUUCUGUAUAUGUUUUAUAAAGUAGACUAGUUUCUGACUUCAUAGUGAUUAUGAGUAAAACAAAGGGCUUCCCAGGAAACCUUUGUGAGGUUUAAUAUUUUACAUUCUUCCUGCUUAACCUAUUCUGUGGGAGUGGCUGUCCCUUGCUACGUGUAUCACUGACCAUUGCAUAGCUUUCAUUCUUUCCACUACAUCUUAAUAUCUACAUUCUAUAGUAUUUCUACCUCCUAACUGCACACAGGGAUUACAAAGAUCCCUUUCUUUGUGAAAAUGGACAACUGUCCCAACAACUUGUUUGCACUUUAGCUGACGUGUGGGACGUGGCCUGAUUUCCUUGAUAAAUCGGAUGCCAAUUUACAACCAGGAACAGAAGUCUGAAGUGUUCUGAGACCUGGAGCUCGUGGUCUACACUGACUUUGAAUCAGUCCUUUGGCUGGACAGUUCCCAUCAAAGCAAAACUGGAAAUUUUUUUCCUUAUGUUAAGGCAUUAUUUUGCCUAUCAUAGAAGGGAAAUGAAAGAAAUAAGGAGUAUAAAGGGCUAGGGAGAGGGGUAGGAAGGCUGAGGGGUAGGUUGUAAAUGGGAUUUUGCUGGAGGAAAUGUUAAAUUAAUGGUUUCUAGAUGAUAUUAUACUCUAAGAAAAAUGUCACAAAAUGAGAGGCUAGGCAAAUUCUAACGAAACAUAUCAGCUAAAACUUGGUGGAAGAAAUGUAUUCACACUCAAGCCAUGUUAAGAUACACUGAAGACUGUUUCUAAUAUGUGGAUUGGGUCUUCAUUUGUCUCCGAUAAGCAGCUGCUAUAAGCAGAAGAGUCAAUUCAAAAAUCCCAAAAUCAUAGACAAGAAAAAAAAAUCCACAGCACUGUUUGUUACAGAGAAGAAUGGGAGAGAAAAAGUCAGAAUUGUGUUGUAGGUGGCAACAUAUUGAAUUCUGCUCUCUUAAGCCCAGUGUACAAAAAGUAUUGAUUAACAGGUUAGGUCUUGUGAGAGGAGGGGCCGGAGGCACCAUGCUUGAGUAAUCCAGGCUGCCCUUGCUUUGUCUGUCAGCACUCCUGCUAGCUCCAGGGAGCAAGUGAUUCUCUCCUUCCUUGCUGUUCCUUCUCAGCCUCAGCAAGUCAAGAUGCAGGCAGCUCUUAGUGAGGAUUAGCAAAUUUAAGAGCUCAGCCUUGGAAAUGACUGUAAUUUGAUUCUAUGCAAGAUCCAUCAUUUCUCUGACUGCGAAUGUCAAAUAAUUUCAUACAACCUGCAGAACUGCUGUGGUGAACUGUCACUAGCAUUUUUCCAAUCCCGGCAUUUUAGAAGAGAUUUGGUGUAAGGUUUGGGGGUGCCGUUCAGUGUUAAAGCAUGUGCUUAGCAUGUGCAAAACUCUGUUUCUAUCCUGAACAUAAAAAAAAAGAAUCAUUAUUGAUAAGCAUGGGGUAUAAAUGUGACUGUGUAGGCACUGGAUUACACACUGGAUUGAACCACAGAAGAGGAGGGAGGAGCUAACUUCUAAUAAGAGCCUUCUAUUGGCCAGACCCUGGCCCUGCAUUCUGUGUGUACUACCCUUCAUAAUUAGUCCAUGCAAUGUGCUGACAAGAUGUUGACUCCUGGACUGAGAAGAUGAAUCAGCACUUAAGAACAUGUGCUAUUCUUGCACUAAUAUCAGAUCACCUCUUCUAUUCUCCUUGGGCACACGUACUUAUAUUACACAUACACCCAUGUGCUUAUGCACCUGUGCAUGCACAAGCACGUGCACACAUGCACACACACAUAUAUAUACACACGCAGACUUAUAUGCACAUACCCCCACAUGGAUACAAACAUACAUACACUCAUUAGCAAAUACUCCUGUGUACACACACACACACACACACACACACACACACACACACACACAUACA